AUAGUGGCCCUGAGUUCUUCAUUGCUUACACCUUGUAUAAUCACUUACACCUGUGCAAGGUGCUACCAAAUCAGAAAGGUAGCUUAUUUUGCACAGGACUAUAUAUUAAAUGAUUUUUUAGAACAGGGAGAUGGAACAGGAGCUUGCUUCAUCCACUCCAUGCAUUGACCUGGUAUUGUAGUACCUCCAGGUACAGUGCACCUCCC
Molecule: small nuclear RNA, 206 nt
Organism: Chelonoidis abingdonii (Abingdon island giant tortoise)
Lineage: Eukaryota; Metazoa; Chordata; Testudines; Testudinidae
Gene: U2
Rfam family: U2 spliceosomal RNA
About the family: U2 is a small nuclear RNA (snRNA) component of the spliceosome (involved in pre-mRNA splicing). Complementary binding between U2 snRNA (in an area lying towards the 5' end but 3' to hairpin I) and the branchpoint sequence (BPS) of the intron results the bulging out of an unpaired adenosine, on the BPS, which initiates a nucleophilic attack at the intronic 5' splice site, thus starting the first of two transesterification reactions that mediate splicing.
Source: Ensembl